RNAcentral lists this ribosomal RNA (487 nucleotides) under uncultured bacterium. RNAcentral's name for it is "bacterial SSU rRNA". It matches the Rfam family "Bacterial small subunit ribosomal RNA", at positions 899 to 1397 of the family's 1533-position model. The record is from RNAcentral.
ACUCAAAUGAAUAGACGGGGGCCCGCACAAGCAGCGGAGCGUGUGGUUUAAUUCGAUGCAACACGAAGAACCUUACCAAGGCUUGACAUGCUGGAAGUAGCGAACCGAAAGGGGAGCCAACUGUUAAGUCAGUAGCCUGCACAGGUGCUGCAUGGCUGUCGUCAGCUCGUGCCGUGAGGUGUUGGGUUAAGUCCCCCAACGAGCGUAACCCUUAUUGCCAGUUGUUUUCUCUGGCGAGACUGCCCCGCAAAACGGGGAGGAAGGUGGGGAUGACGUCAAGUCAGCACGGCCCUUAUGCCUGGGGCUACACACACGCUACAAUGGACGGUACAAUGGGUAGCAAUGGAGCGAUUCGGAGCUAAUCCUAAAAGCCGUUCUCAGUUCGGAUCGCAGGCUGAAACCCGCCUGCGUGAAGUCGGAGUUGCUAGUAAACGCAAGUCAGCAAAUUGCGUUGAAUACGUUCUCGGGCCUUGCACACACCGCCCGU